GGCCACGUAGCCAAGUGGUAAGGCAGGGGUCUGCAAAACCUCUAUUCAGCGGUUCGAUUCCGCUCGUGGCCUCCA
This 75-nucleotide transfer RNA is filed under the name bacterium. RNAcentral's name for it is "tRNA-Cys". It matches the Rfam family "tRNA". From Rfam's summary of the family: Transfer RNA (tRNA) molecules are approximately 80 nucleotides in length. Their secondary structure includes four short double-helical elements and three loops (D, anti-codon, and T loops). The record is from RNAcentral. RNAcentral also lists the same sequence under 2 other names.